Molecule: ribosomal RNA, 467 nt
Filed under: uncultured bacterium
Lineage: Bacteria
Description: partial 16S ribosomal RNA
Rfam family: Bacterial small subunit ribosomal RNA
Source: RNAcentral
GACGAACGCUGGCGGCGCGCCUAACACAUGCAAGUCGAACGGAGCUGAGAGAAGCUUGCUUUUCUUAGCUUAGUGGCGAACGGGUGAGUAACGCGUGAGUAACCUGCCCUGGAGUGGGGGACAACAGUUGGAAACGACUGCUAAUACCGCAUCAGCCCAUGAUCCGGCAUCGGAUUGGGGGAAAAGGAUUUAUUCGCUUCAGGAUGGAUUCGCGUCCAAUUAGCUGGUUGGUGAGGUAACGGCCCGCCAAGGCGAGGAUUGGUACCCGGACUGUGAGGUGGAACGGCAACAUUGGGAUUGGGCCCCGACCCGAACUCCUGCGGAGGGAGGCAGUGGGGAUAUUGCACAAUGGGGGAAAACCUGAUGCAGCGACGCCGCGUGGAGGAAGAAGGUUUUCGGAUUGUACACUCCUGUCGUUAGGGGCGAUAAUGACGGUACCUAACAAGAAAGCACCGGCUAACUACGUG